AGGUUGAGAUUCCUGUACCAGUUAACUGCGUUUGACGAUGGAGGGACGCAGGAGGCUAAGCAAACCGUACGACUGGAAGAGUACGGUCAAGCAGUAAGUCAGGAUGUGAGUCAAAUGUUUACAUCCGUGUUGACAAGCUGUGAUGGGGAGCGAAAUUAAAGUAGCGAAGUUGCCGAUGUCACACUGCCGAGAAAAGCUUCUAAGGAGUAGUUAACUGCCCGUACCGCAAACCGACACAGGUAGUCGAGGAGAGAA
This 255-nucleotide ribosomal RNA is filed under the name Limosilactobacillus reuteri. RNAcentral's name for it is "Lactobacillus reuteri partial 23S ribosomal RNA". It matches the Rfam family "Bacterial large subunit ribosomal RNA", at positions 1427 to 1678 of the family's 2925-position model. The record is from RNAcentral. Lineage: Bacteria; Bacillati; Bacillota; Bacilli; Lactobacillales; Lactobacillaceae.